UUGACAUCCAGAGAAUUUAGCAGAGAUGCUUUAGUGCCUUCGGGAACUCUGAGACAGGUGCUGCAUGGCUGUCGUCAGCUCGUGUUGUGAAAUGUUGGUUAAGUCCGCAACGAGCGCAACCCUUAUCCUUUGUUGCCAGCACGUAAUGGUGGGAAACUCAAAGGAGACUGCCGGUGAUAAACCGGAGGAAGGUGGGGAUGACGUCAAGUCAUCAUGGCCCUUACGAGUAGGGCUACACACGUGCUACAAUGGCGUAUACAAAGAGAAGCGACCUCGCGAGAGCAAGCGGACCUCAUAAAGCGCGUCGUAGUCCGGAUUGGAGUCUGCAACUCGACUCCAUGAAGUCGGAAUCGCUAGUAAUCGUAAAUCAGAAUGUUACGGUGAAUACGUUCCCGGGCCUUGUACACACCGCCCGUCACACCAUGGGAGUGGGUUGCAAAAGAAGUAGAUAGCUUAACCUUCGGGAGGGCGUUUACCACUUUGUGAUUCAUGACUGGGGUGAAGUCGUAACAAGGUAGGCGUAGUGCU
This 528-nucleotide ribosomal RNA is filed under the name uncultured bacterium. Its description in RNAcentral is "bacterial SSU rRNA". It matches the Rfam family "Bacterial small subunit ribosomal RNA", at positions 981 to 1509 of the family's 1533-position model. The record is from RNAcentral.